AGUGAACGCUGGCGGUAGGCCUAACACAUGCAAGUCGAACGGCAGCACAGUAAGAGCUUGCUCUUACGGGUGGCGAGUGGCGGACGGGUGAGGAAUACAUCGGAAUCUACUUUUUCGUGGGGGAUAACGUAGGGAAACUUACGCUAAUACCGCAUACGACCUACGGGUGAAAGCAGGGGAUCUUCGGACCUUGCGCGAUUGAAUGAGCCGAUGUCGGAUUAGCUAGUUGGCGGGGUAAAGGCCCACCAAGGCGACGAUCCGUAGCUGAUCUGAGAGGAUGAUCAGCCACACUGGAACUGAGACACGGUCCAGACUCCUACGGGAGGCAGCAGUGGGGAAUAUUGGACAAAGGGCACAAGCCUGAUCCAGCCAUACCGCGUGGGUGAAGAAGGCCUUCGGGUUGUAAAGCCCUUUUGUUGGGAAAGAAAAGCAGCAGGUUAAUACCCCGCUGUUCUGACGGUACCCAAAGAAUAAGCACCGGCUAACUUCGUG
This 492-nucleotide ribosomal RNA is filed under the name uncultured bacterium. RNAcentral describes it as "partial 16S ribosomal RNA". It matches the Rfam family "Bacterial small subunit ribosomal RNA", at positions 29 to 507 of the family's 1533-position model. The record is from RNAcentral.